RNAcentral lists this long non-coding RNA (455 nucleotides) under Olea europaea subsp. europaea. The record is from RNAcentral. Lineage: Eukaryota; Viridiplantae; Streptophyta; Magnoliopsida; Lamiales; Oleaceae.
GGAAAUUUGAAAAGAUUACACCACAGAAAGUGACGAGAAAUAAAGCUCUUAGUUAUAAGUAGCUUAGACUUUUGAGUUAUAUUAGCCGUUUAUAAUACACAAUUUUAGCAUUUGUAUAUCUAUUUAAAGCAGUCUUGCACUUUCUUCAGAUGCACCGGGUAAUUUCCUGUACUAUAUAAUUUGAUUAUAAUACAUGGAAACUACAAUGAGUUGUACUAAUUUACUUGUAGAGUGUUAUAUUGAUUAGAUAUGUCAAGGGGGCAACUAAGAAAAUAGAGAAUUUGUCUUUGUCCAACUAAAUUUUGCCUUCUUUCGAGUCUUGGUUGAUUUUUAUUCUGCAAUACCAUGGAACUUGUUUUGAUAAUUUUGUGAUAUUAGUCUUAUGCUGAGCAUGGGCAGAGUCAAAACUCGGAUUCAAUGAGAUGCGUCCUCUCAAAUCUCAUUUGUUUUCUCCU